CCAUUCCGGAUGGGAGGUGGUUUUGGGAUGACUGAGAAGGAUCCUGUCUGAGUAAAGGUCUGGAGGAGAAUCAGCCCCAAACCCAGGCCUAGAACUGGGGCCCCUAAUACCAAUUUCUGCUUCUGUCUAAAUAGGAUUUUUAAACGUAGAGGUUGAUAGGAUAAAGGGGCUUCAGAAAGUGUUUUACACUUUCCUACCUUCACCCAAUUCAGGAGGCCACAGUUUCUGGACUGGGAAGAUGUCUGUGACGCUCAGUCAAUAUCAGUGUGGAAGUGUAUCUCCCCAGCUUCCAAAUGCCACCAUGGAAACAUUUGUAUGCCUACUGAUUCCAUAGCUUGGUCUUGGUAACAGCUUAGGAUAUUUCUAGUUCUCUCAAAGCAUCUAAAAGAGAGAAAAGUCUCCAAGGGAGAAGAGUGUGAACUCUGCCUCAGCGUGGCAGGUUGAGAAGUUGUCAGGGAGCACCUUGGAGCCCAGUAGAGGCCCUGACUGGUGCACCUCUGAAAAGACUGCGGGCACAGUGCUGCACCUCCCCAGGGCUCCCUCAGCAGAGGCAGGUGUGCUCUGUCCCCAUCAUGGCCCUGUGUGCUUCUCCACAGACAAAGACCCCUACAGUUUUGGAAGGACAACCAUAGCAAACCUGGAGACCCACAAUGACCUGCUCUGGCUGCAUGCUGUCUUUGCUGUCAUCUACCUCUCCCUCACUGUGGGCUUCAUGCGGCACCACACCCAGUCCAUCAAGUACACAGAGGAGACCCUGGUGAGUGGGGACAGGGCUUUGGGGCCACAAGCUCGGUGGGGCCUCAAGCCUGGUUUGCAUAUUGGGCCUCGCUUGGCAUCAUCUUUGCGUCUUAGUCUCCUGGUGGAUUGUUCAAGUGUUGGACCUUUGCCCCCAUUCUGCCAGCUCACUCUUUGAUCUGUGGGCUUGGGCUGGAUGGAGUGAGACCAAGGAGAGAAGUUUGGGCGGCGGGGGCUUGGGUCAGCUUGGAGGUGCAGUACUUGACCAAUGUGUCCGGCCUUGGAUCUGUGCCCCAGGACAGCAGAACAGAAGGAACACAGAGGCGGAGGGCAGCCCUUCUUUCUGCGUCAUGGCUUCAGCCCAGGUCUCCUCUGCUCUGCUGUGUGGCCCAUUUGAGUCGCUCUCCCUCUCUGGGUUUUCCCUCAGCUCCUGUCCUGCCAAGGAUGCUCGUACAGUUGCUUUGGAGAUGGGUCCUUUAUAGCUGGCAAGGACUGUAAAUACA
This 1238-nucleotide long non-coding RNA is filed under the name Fukomys damarensis (Damara mole-rat). Its description in RNAcentral is "lncRNA (ENSFDAG00000022369.1)". Lineage: Eukaryota; Metazoa; Chordata; Mammalia; Rodentia; Bathyergidae. The record is from RNAcentral.